Molecule: ribosomal RNA, 900 nt
Filed under: uncultured archaeon
Lineage: Archaea
Description: bacterial SSU rRNA
Rfam family: Archaeal small subunit ribosomal RNA
Source: RNAcentral
GUGCCAGCCGCCGCGGUAAAACCAGCACCUCAAGUGGUCAGGAGGAUUAUUGGGCCUAAAGCAUCCGUAGCCUGUUCUAUAAGUUUCCGGUUAAAUCCAUUAGCUCAACUAAUGGGCCGCCGAAAAUACUGUAGAACUAGGGAGUGGGAGAGGUAGACGGUAUUCGGUAGGAAGGGGUAAAAUCCUUUGAUCUAUUGAGGACCACCUGUGGCGAAGGCGGUCUACCAGAACACGUUCGACGGUGAGGGAUGAAAGCUGGGGGAGCAAACCGGAUUAGAUACCCGGGUAGUCCCAGCUGUAAACGAUGCAGACUCGGUGAUGCGCUGGCUUGUGGCCAGUGCAGUGCCGCAGGGAAGCCGUUAAGUUUGCCGCCUGGGAAGUACGUACGCAAGUAUGAAACUUAAAGGAAUUGGCGGGGGAGUACCACAAGGGGUGAAGCCUGCGGUUCAAUUGGAGUCAACGCCAGAAAUCUUACCCGAAGAGACAGCAGAAUGAAGGUCAAGCUGGAGACUUUACCAGACAAGCUGAGAAGUGGUGCAUGGCCGUCGCCAGCUCGUGCCGUGAGAUGUCCUGUUAAGUCAGGUAACGAGCGAGAUCCCUGCCUCUAGUUGCCACCAUUACUCUCAGGAGUAGUGGGGCGAAUUAGCGGGACCGCCGCAGUUAAUGCGGAGGAAGGAAGGGGCCACGGCAGGUCAGUAUGCCCUGAAACUUUGGGGCCACACGCGGGCUGCAAUGGUAGCGACAAUGGGUUCCGAAUCCGAAAGGAGGAGGCAAUCCUCAAACGCUACCACAGUUAUGAUUGAGGGCUGUAACUCGCCCUCAUGAAUAUGGAAUCCCUAGUAACUGCGUGUCAUUACCGCGCGGUGAAUACGUCCCUGCUCCUUGCACACACCGCCCGUC